Molecule: transfer RNA, 76 nt
Filed under: Candidatus Rokuibacteriota bacterium
Lineage: Bacteria; Candidatus Rokuibacteriota
Description: tRNA-Val
Rfam family: tRNA
About the family: Transfer RNA (tRNA) molecules are approximately 80 nucleotides in length. Their secondary structure includes four short double-helical elements and three loops (D, anti-codon, and T loops). Further hydrogen bonds mediate the characteristic L-shaped molecular structure. tRNAs have two regions of fundamental functional importance: the anti-codon, which is responsible for specific mRNA codon recognition, and the 3' end, to which the tRNAs corresponding amino acid is attached (by aminoacyl-tRNA synthetases). tRNAs cope with the degeneracy of the genetic code in two manners: having more than one tRNA (with a specific anti-codon) for a particular amino acid; and 'wobble' base-pairing, i.e. permitting non-standard base-pairing at the 3rd anti-codon position.
Source: RNAcentral
AGGCGGGUAGCUCAGCUGGGAGAGCACGGCCCUUACAAGGCCGGGGUCGCGAGUUCGAUCCUCGCCCCGCCUACCA